CUGUUUUUUAAUUUGACACAUGAAUAUUACUUUAAAAGAAUUUUUAACUGUUUAAAGCAUUAUCGAUUUAUAUAUAAACAAAUAAAAUUUAUGAAUAUGCCGAAGACGAAGAUUCUUUUGGAAAAACAAUUGACGAUCGUAACGCAAUAUUUUGCGCCACAUGUGUCUUAAUCGGCCGUAAAAAUGUGAUUAAAUGGAAUAACGCAGACAAUACUAUCUCGUCUGAAAAUUAAAUAUCCGUCUCAUUCAAUUUGCUCAACGACUUUAGAGUAAUUUUCUUUUUGGAGAGACAACAACAUUGAUGAUAAUUUCUGGAAUGAAACAGAAUCAAAGCAAAUUAUGGGCGUUCUCGAAGAAUAUAUAUUUUCGGAGUUAGAAAUCCAUAAAUUGCAUCAAUUAUUAAAGACAACAGAUCUCGAAGCAAAAUAUAUAAAAUAUUUUGCAGGAAGUUUUCGAAGACAUUUGUUGAUUUUCACUUAUAACGUCAUAACAAGAAAACUCGGCGUACGUUGCUGUCUAACAACAUAUAAAAAUGAUAUUGGAAUCAUAUGGAAACCAAAAUAUAAUACAAGUAUUCGGUGUAAUACAGAAUUCUUUUAUCUAAGUCUGAACCCUAAUCUAUCUUACCCAUCGAACGUUAUCAGUCAAAUUAUAUCCAAAUAAUGUAUUCUCUUCUGCGACUGUCCAU
Molecule: long non-coding RNA, 688 nt
Organism: Cataglyphis hispanica
Lineage: Eukaryota; Metazoa; Arthropoda; Insecta; Hymenoptera; Formicidae
Exons: 3
Source: RefSeq, a predicted model, not a curated record